GGUUAAGUUAGAAAGGGCGCACGGUGGAUGCCUUGGCACUAGGAGCCGAUGAAGGACGGGACGAACACCGAUAUGCUUCGGGGAGCUGUAAGCAAGCUUUGAUCCGGAGAUUUCCGAAUGGGGAAACCCACCACUCGUAAUGGAGUGGUAUCCAUAUCUGAAUACAUAGGAUAUGAGAAGGCAGACCCGGGGAACUGAAACAUCUAAGUACCCGGAGGAAGAGAAAGCAAAUGCGAUUCCCUGAGUAGCGGCGAGCGAAACGGGACCAGCCCAAACCAAGAGGCUUGCCUCUUGGGGUUGUAGGACACUCUGUACGGAGUUACAAAGGAACGAGGUAGAUGAAGAGGUCUGGAAAGGCCCGCCAUAGGAGGUAACAGCCCUGUAGUCAAAACUUCGUUCUCUCCUGAGUGGAUCCUGAGUACGGCGGAACACGUGAAAUUCCGUCGGAAUCCGGGAGGACCAUCUCCCAAGGCUAAAUACUCCCUAGUGACCGAUAGUGAACCAGUACCGUGAGGGAAAGGUGAAAAGCACCCCGGAAGGGGAGUGAAAGAGAUCCUGAAACCGUGUGCCUACAAGUAGUCAGAGCCCGUUAACGGGUGAUGGCGUGCCUUUUGUAGAAUGAACCGGCGAGUUACGAUCCCGUGCAAGGUUAAGCAGAAGAUGCGGAGCCGCAGCGAAAGCGAGUCUGAAUAGGGCGAAUUGAGUACGUGGUCGUAGACCCGAAACCAGGUGAUCUACCCAUGUCCAGGGUGAAGUUCAGGUAACACUGAAUGGAGGCCCGAACCCACGCACGUUGAAAAGUGCGGGGAUGAGGUGUGGGUAGGGGUGAAAUGCCAAUCGAACCUGGAGAUAGCUGGUUCUCUCCGAAAUAGCUUUAGGGCUAGCCUCAAGGUAAGAGUCUCGGAGGUAGAGCACUGAUUGGACUAGGGGCCCCUACCGGGUUACCGAAUUCAGUCAAACUCCGAAUGCCGAUGACUUAUCCUUGGGAGUCAGACUGCGAGUGAUAAGAUCCGUAGUCGAAAGGGAAACAGCCCAGACCGCCAGCUAAGGUCCCAAAGUAUACGUUAAGUGGAAAAGGAUGUGGAGUUGCUUAGACAACCAGGAUGUUGGCUUAGAAGCAGCCACCAUUUAAAGAGUGCGUAAUAGCUCACUGGUCGAGUGACUCUGCGCCGAAAAUGUACCGGGGCUAAACGUAUCACCGAAGCUGCGGACUGUUCUUCGAACAGUGGUAGGAGAGCGUUCUAAGAGCUGUGAAGCAAGACCGGAAGGACUUGUGGAGCGCUUAGAAGUGAGAAUGCCGGUAUGAGUAGCGAAAGAGGGGUGAGAAUCCCCUCCACCGAAUGCCUAAGGUUUCCUGAGGAAGGCUCGUCCGCUCAGGGUUAGUCGGGACCUAAGCCGAGGCCGAAAGGCGUAGGCGAUGGAUAACAGGUUGAUAUUCCUGUACCACCUCCUCACCAUUUGAGCAAUGGGGGGACGCAGGAGGAUAGGGUAAGCGCGGUAUUGGAUAUCCGCGUCCAAGCAGUUAGGCUGGGAAAUAGGCAAAUCCGUUUCCCGUGAAGGCUGAGCUGUGAUGGCGAGCGAAUUAUAGUAGCGAAGUUCCUGAUUCCACACUGCCAAGAAAAGCCUCUAGCGAGGUGAGAGGUGCCCGUACCGCAAACCGACACAGGUAGGCGAGGAGAGAAUCCUAAGGUGAUCGAGAGAACUCUCGUUAAGGAACUCGGCAAAAUGACCCCGUAACUUCGGGAGAAGGGGUGCUCUGUUAGGGUGCAAGCCCGAGAGAGCCGCAGUGAAUAGGCCCAGGCGACUGUUUAGCAAAAACACAGGUCUCUGCGAAGCCGUAAGGCGAAGUAUAGGGGCUGACGCCUGCCCGGUGCUGGAAGGUUAAGAGGAGCGCUUAGCGUAAGCGAAGGUGCGAAUUGAAGCCCCAGUAAACGGCGGCCGUAACUAUAACGGUCCUAAGGUAGCGAAAUUCCUUGUCGGGUAAGUUCCGACCCGCACGAAAGGCGCAACGAUCUGGGCACUGUCUCAACGAGAGACUCGGUGAAAUUAUAGUACCUGUGAAGAUGCAGGUUACCCGCGACAGGACGGAAAGACCCCGUGGAGCUUUACUGCAGCCUGAUAUUGAAUGUUGGUACAGCUUGUACAGGAUAGGUAGGAGCCUUGGAAACCGGAGCGCCAGCUUCGGUGGAGGCAUCGGUGGGAUACUACCCUGGCUGUAUUGACCUUCUAACCCGCCGCCCUUAUCGGGCGGGGAGACAGUGUCAGGUGGGCAGUUUGACUGGGGCGGUCGCCUCCUAAAAGGUAACGGAGGCGCCCAAAGGUUCCCUCAGAAUGGUUGGAAAUCAUUCGCAGAGUGUAAAGGCACAAGGGAGCUUGACUGCGAGACCUACAAGUCGAGCAGGGACGAAAGUCGGGCUUAGUGAUCCGGUGGUUCCGCAUGGAAGGGCCAUCGCUCAACGGAUAAAAGCUACCCCGGGGAUAACAGGCUUAUCUCCCCCAAGAGUCCACAUCGACGGGGAGGUUUGGCACCUCGAUGUCGGCUCAUCGCAUCCUGGGGCUGUAGUCGGUCCCAAGGGUUGGGCUGUUCGCCCAUUAAAGCGGUACGCGAGCUGGGUUCAGAACGUCGUGAGACAGUUCGGUCCCUAUCCGUCGCGGGCGCAGGAAAUUUGAGAGGAGCUGUCCUUAGUACGAGAGGACCGGGAUGGACGCACCGCUGGUGUACCAGUUGUUCUGCCAAGGGCAUCGCUGGGUAGCUAUGUGCGGACGGGAUAAGUGCUGAAAGCAUCUAAGCAUGAAGCCCCCCUCAAGAUGAGAUUUCCCAUUCCGCAAGGAAGUAAGAUCCCUGAAAGAUGAUCAGGUUGAUAGGUCUGAGGUGGAAGUGUGGCGACACAUGGAGCUGACAGAUACUAAUCGAUCGAGGACUUAACCAA
Molecule: ribosomal RNA, 2930 nt
Filed under: Bacillus amyloliquefaciens
Lineage: Bacteria; Bacillati; Bacillota; Bacilli; Caryophanales; Bacillaceae
Also listed under: 1 other name
Description: 23S ribosomal RNA
Rfam family: Bacterial large subunit ribosomal RNA
Source: RNAcentral